AAAACGACCAUGUAGUUUAUGGUAUUUGGCCCGUGCUCCUCUUUUAGGUGCCCAGAGCACACCCGAGCUGGGGCUCUCCUCGAUCCGUCCGGGUACGGCGCCGGUGGCGGCGGCCGGUCUUCUUCUCCGGCCAUCUGCCGCUCCCCUUCCCUUCCCCUUCCGCCCCUAAAUUUCUCCGGCAUCAACCCAGCCUCCUCAAUCUCUAGCCCAUAUCCAUGGAGUUCUAGACUUGGAUUUCAAAGGGAUUCGGCGCCUCGGGAGGAUGAACGCCAUGGCGGCUACACACACGCGGCGUCAGCGGAUUGAAGGAUGCGGCAGCAAAUCGGCGAGCUUGAAGAUAUCAGGGGCAGCAGGCUUUACUGCAAUAUAUUCGUCUAUGAUUUUCUCCCCAAAUCUGAAAUUAUUCGCCACCUAAAGUUUAAUCCCCUUGAGAAAAUGAGAGUAUUUAUGUACUAUGCUCUAUGGAUGUUGACAAUUUUGAUUGCAGGAGCUGGCAAAGUAAGUGCAGUGCUUACCGUUGCAUAUAGAUAUUUAGGGCUACAUCAAACUUCAGUCAGUAGAACAUGAUGACCAGGCAGGGAGGUUCAUGCAGCAUUGGAAGUGAGGAUGUUUGGUGUAGAAUCGGUGCCGCCUCCGCUCUACCCUGCCCCUCUGCAUUGUCCUCGACAGCAAUACGGGCGACCUCGCUGCUUGCCUUGCUUGCAACCACUUCAUCCCCAACCUGUUGGACGAGAGCAUUGUAGACCGGGCAGACAAACAAUGAGGUGUAGCAGCACAACCUUGCCUCUUUCCCUUACUCUCAUUCACAAGCGAGCCAAAGACACCCCAAGUGGUGGCAUGAUGGCCCAUCGUGUAUGAAUGUGCUUCCAGACAAGCUUGCCGCGGCUCAGACCAGACUUGCUUGGCAUACAUGGCUGCAAUGCAUACAUGUGGCGGGAAACAGGCAGGGAAGCUUGGGACUGGAUAUGCAAUUAUGCCUUUGAAAAACGUGCAUCUCCGCAUCAGAAUUCUUUUAUGGUACGUUCUUCGUAAAGAUAUGCCUCAUGUGAAGUAUACCAUAUGCAGUUGAGGCUAUCGUGCUGAAGGGUAGGAAGAUGGAGGAGCGGAUUCUUUUAGCAAGCUGGCACCCUGUUGGUUUUGUGCAGAUGUUUGGUAUGGAGAGAAAUUCAGAAGGACAGGGAGAACUCAUCUCUUCAGAACUAAAAGAAAAAAACCAGGACAAAACCUACUGAUGAUGGGGGCAAGGCUAAUCGGGCGAGUAGCAAGUGAGAUCUAUAGAGCUUCGCAGGGAUGGAGAGCUGGAGUUCCUCGCCUGACGAACUGAAGAUUUCGUUUCCUGAUGUUAGCUUGAUUUUACUCUCUUGCGUAGUCCGCUGGAGGUUACGCCCUCUCUGUCAAAUGGGUCGCCUAUGACCCCGAAGAACUUAAGCUUGAUCGUUGCCUUUUGAGAUGGUUUCCUUGGAUAUUGGUAGUUUUAAGUAGGUUGCACGUCUGUAGUGAACUGAUACUGGUGAUGGUUUCGUUAAUGAAAUCGGAGCCCCCCUCUUUUGCUCAAAAAAACUGGCAGCACCUUCUUCCCUGUGAAUUCUCGCGAGAAGCAGCACCUUCUUCCCUGUGAAUUCUCGCGAGAAGGCGCCAUGGUUCCUACACCCACCGGUAUAGAACUUUCUUACAAAAUCCCAAACAUAGUCAAGCUGCUUUUCGAGACACCCUCUGGCUUCGCACUUUUCUCUUUUGAUAAGAGAUACCUCGACAAACAUAUUGAGGACAUCUGGGUAUACUUCGUGGGUGAAUAUUGGCAUCAAAAUAUCAUCUGGCUGCAUGAAUUCCAAAAGUUUGAGGACAAGUCGGACGCCAUUGACCUUACAAAUGGAAAAUAGGCAAAGACAUGAACAUGCUGAUCAUGAACUACUACUACUCUGAUGACAAACUAAUUGUUGGAAGCCUUGCAUAUAAAGAAAUAAUUGAAGAAUCACUGGGGCUAACAUGUGUGUACAAUGAUGACGCUGUGACGGAGGUGAUGUGGGGUGUGCAGAAUAUCAUGCACACUUUAGUGCCUCAAGAACAAUAUGAGAUUAGUAAGGAGGACCUGAUCCUGAGCCACAGGCUGAAUAUGAUCUUAAAUCUACAUGACAUUGUAGUCAAGAAAGAUAUGAUUAAUGAGUGUAUUAUUGAGAAGGCCAGCAAGGUGCAUCAUAUCGACAUGCGCGAAGAAGAACAUUUAGUUUUCUUGCACGAACGCUUGCUGAGGAUUUCAGGACGUUUUCCAAAGUCGACAUCGAGGAGUGGAGCUUAUUCAAACUUGCGACAGCGUUGAAGUUGAUGUUCGAUCCUCAUGGAGGGCUUAAAGCUGGUGAUGCAGAUGAGAUGUUCACGCGCGCUGAGCUUACAAUGAUGUCGCGUGAUGUGCCUCGAUACCAUGGGAUGAUAAGUAAGAACAUUGUCUUGGCAAUCUACAAUGAUGUUGUUACUCUCCAAGAGGACAAGGUGAAGUUGCUUACUAGUA
Molecule: long non-coding RNA, 2506 nt
Organism: Triticum aestivum (bread wheat)
Lineage: Eukaryota; Viridiplantae; Streptophyta; Magnoliopsida; Poales; Poaceae
Exons: 12
Source: RefSeq, a predicted model, not a curated record